ACCACCACCAAAGUUUCCUUACCAUUACUCAUAUCCACCCCCACCUCCCAAAAAACCCUACAAAUAUCCAUCACCUCCACCACAAAUAUAUAAGUACAAGUCUCCUCCACCACCGCUACCAAAGAAGCCCUACAAAUAUCCAUCACCUCCACCACCAAUAUAUAUGUACAAGUCACCUCCGCCACCGAUAUAUAAGUACAAGUCUCUUCCACCACCGCCACCAAAGAAGCCCUACAAAUAUCCGUCACCUCCACCACCAGUUUACAAGUACAAGUCUCCUCCGUCACCAUCACCAAAGAAGACCUACAAAUAUCCAUCACCUCCACCACCAGUUUACAAGUACAAGUCGUCACCCCCACCUUAUAAGUACCCAUCUCCACAACAACCUCUACAACUAUCGCAACAAACUACCAAUUACUAUUACAAGUCACCACCACCGCCACAUAGGAAGCC
RNAcentral lists this long non-coding RNA (453 nucleotides) under Medicago truncatula (barrel medic). RNAcentral describes it as "long non-coding RNA (MTRU_LNC004005)". The record is from RNAcentral. Lineage: Eukaryota; Viridiplantae; Streptophyta; Magnoliopsida; Fabales; Fabaceae.